GACGAAGGUGGCAAGCGUUGUUCGGAAUCAUUGGGCUUAAAGCGUACGUAGGCGGCUCUUCAAGUGUCUUGUGAAAUCCCUCGGCUCAACCGAGGAAUUGCUGGGCAUACUGUCGAGCUUGAGGCAGGUAUGGGCGAGUGGAACUCUUGGUGGAGCGGUGGAAUGCAUAGAUAUCAAGAGGAACGCCGGUGGUGAAGACGACUCGCUGGGCCUGUCCUGACGCUGAGGUACGAAAGCCAGGGGAGCAAACGGG
RNAcentral lists this ribosomal RNA (253 nucleotides) under uncultured bacterium. RNAcentral's name for it is "partial 16S ribosomal RNA". It matches the Rfam family "Bacterial small subunit ribosomal RNA", at positions 524 to 776 of the family's 1533-position model. The record is from RNAcentral.